GAUGAACGCUGGCGGCGUGCCUAAUACAUGCAAGUCGAGCGAACGGACGAGAAGCUUGCUUCUCUGAUGUUAGCGGCGGACGGGUGAGUAACACGUGGAUAACCUACCUAUAAGACUGGGAUAACUUCGGGAAACCGGAGCUAAUACCGGAUAAUAUUUUGAACCGCAUGGUUCAAAAGUGAAAGACGGUCUUGCUGUCACUUAUAGAUGGAUCCGCGCUGCAUUAGCUAGUUGGUAAGGUAACGGCUUACCAAGGCAACGAUGCAUAGCCGACCUGAGAGGCUGAUCGGCCACACUGGAACUGAGACACGGUCCAGACUCCUACGGGAGGCAGCAGUAGGGAAUCUUCCGCAAUGGGCGAAAGCCUGACGGAGCAACGCCGCGUGAGUGAUGAAGGUCUUCGGAUCGUAAAACUCUGUUAUUAGGGAAGAACAAAUGUGUAAGUAACUGUGCUCAACUUGACGGUACCUAAUCAGAAAGCCACGGCUAACUACGUG
Molecule: ribosomal RNA, 497 nt
Filed under: uncultured bacterium
Lineage: Bacteria
Description: partial 16S ribosomal RNA
Rfam family: Bacterial small subunit ribosomal RNA
Source: RNAcentral